Molecule: ribosomal RNA, 497 nt
Filed under: uncultured bacterium
Lineage: Bacteria
Description: partial 16S ribosomal RNA
Rfam family: Bacterial small subunit ribosomal RNA
Source: RNAcentral
GAUGAACGCUGGCGGCGUGCCUAAUACAUGCAAGUCGAGCGAACAGACGAGGAGCUUGCUCCUCUGACGUUAGCGGCGGACGGGUGAGUAACACGUGGAUAACCUACCUAUAAGACUGGGAUAACUUCGAGAAACCGGAGCUAAUACCGGAUAAUAUAUUGAACCGCAUGGUUCAAUAGUGAAUGACGGUUUUGCUGUCACUUAUAGAUGGAUCCGCGCCGCAUUAGCUAGUUGGUAAGGUAACGGCCUACCAAGGCAACGAUGCGUAGCCGACCUGAGAGGGUGAUCGGCCACACUGGAACUGAGACACGGUCCAGACUCCUACGGGAGGCAGCAGUAGGGAAUCUUCCGCAAUGGGCGAAAGCCUGACGGAGCAACGCCGCGUGAGUGAUGAAGGUCUUCGGAUCGUAAAGCUCUGUUAUUAGGGAAGAACAAAUGUGUAAGUAACUAUGGCCGUCUUGACGGUACCUAAUCAGAAAGCCACGGCUAACUACGUG